GGCUAAUUUGAGUGAAGUGGUGUUUAUAACUAAGUGUUCACAACCAAUUACAGAUUUCUUUGUUCAUUCUCCACUCCCACUGCUUCACUUGAUUAGCCUUAA
Molecule: unclassified non-coding RNA, 102 nt
Organism: Prolemur simus (greater bamboo lemur)
Lineage: Eukaryota; Metazoa; Chordata; Mammalia; Primates; Lemuridae
Rfam family: Y RNA
About the family: Y RNAs are components of the Ro ribonucleoprotein particle (Ro RNP), in association with Ro60 and La proteins. The Y RNAs and Ro60 and La proteins are well conserved, but the function of the Ro RNP is not known.
Source: Ensembl